RNAcentral lists this ribosomal RNA (518 nucleotides) under uncultured bacterium. RNAcentral's name for it is "bacterial SSU rRNA". It matches the Rfam family "Bacterial small subunit ribosomal RNA", at positions 104 to 620 of the family's 1533-position model. The record is from RNAcentral.
GGGUGCGUAACACGUAUGUAACCUACCUUGUUCAGGGGGAUAGCCUCUCGAAAGAGAGAUUAAGACCGCAUAAUAUAAUUGAAUGGCAUCAUUUAAUUAUCAAAUAUUUAUAGGAACAAGAUGGGCAUGCGGAACAUUAGCUAGUUGGUAAGGUAACGGCUUACCAAGGCUACGAUGUUUAGGGGAUCUGAGAGGAUUACCCCCCACACUGGUACUGAGACACGGACCAGACUCCUACGGGAGGCAGCAGUAAGGAAUAUUGGUCAAUGGACGGAAGUCUGAACCAGCCAUGCCGCGUGCAGGAAGACGGCCCUACGGGUUGUAAACUGCUUUUAUACUGGAAUAAACCUAGUUACGUGUAGCUAGCUGAAUGUACAGUAAGAAUAAGGAUCGGCUAACUCCGUGCCAGCAGCCGCGGUAAUACGGAGGAUCCAAGCGUUAUCCGGAUUUAUUGGGUUUAAAGGGUGCGUAGGUGGCCUGUUAAGUCAGGGGUGAAAGACGGUAGCUCAACUAUCGCA